UGGGGAAUAUUGCACAAUGGGCGCAAGCCUGAUGCAGCCAUGCCGCGUGUGUGAAGAAGGCCUUCGGGUUGUAAAGCACUUUCAGCGAGGAGGAAGGUGGUGAGCUUAAUACGCUCAUCAAUUGACGUUACUCGCAGAAGAAGCACCGGCUAACUCCGUGCCAGCAGCCGCGGUAAUACGGAGGGUGCAAGCGUUAAUCGGAAUUACUGGGCGUAAAGCGCACGCAGGCGGUUUGUUAAGUCAGAUGUGAAAUCCCCGGGCUCAACCUGGGAACUGCAUUUGAAACUGGCAAGCUAGAGUCUCGUAGAGGGGGGUAGAAUUCCAGGUGUAGCGGUGAAAUGCGUAGAGAUCUGGAGGAAUACCGGUGGCGAAGGCGGCCCCCUGGACGAAGACUGACGCUCAGGUGCGAAAGCGUGGGGAGCAAAACAGGAUUAGAUACCCUGGUAGUCCACGCUGUAAAACGAUGUCGAUUUUGGAGGUUGUGCCCCUUGAGGCGUGGNUUCCGGAGCUAACGCGUUAAAUCGACCGCCUGGGGAGUACGGCCGCAAGGUU
RNAcentral lists this ribosomal RNA (552 nucleotides) under uncultured bacterium. RNAcentral describes it as "partial 16S ribosomal RNA". It matches the Rfam family "Bacterial small subunit ribosomal RNA", at positions 355 to 895 of the family's 1533-position model. The record is from RNAcentral.